UUUGAUCCUGGCUCAGAUUGAACGCUGGCGGCAGGCUUAACACAUGCAAGUCGAGCGGAGUGAUGGUGCUUGCACUAUCACUUAGCGGCGGACGGGUGAGUAAUGCUUAGGAAUCUGCCUAUUAGUGGGGGACAACAUUUCGAAAGGAAUGCUAAUACCGCAUACGUCCUACGGGAGAAAGCAGGGGAUCUUCGGACCUUGCGCUAAUAGAUGAGCCUAAGUCGGAUUAGCUAGUUGGUGGGGUAAAGGCCUACCAAGGCGACGAUCUGUAGCGGGUCUGAGAGGAUGAUCCGCCACACUGGGACUGAGACACGGCCCAGACUCCUACGGGAGGCAGCAGUGGGGAAUAUUGGACAAUGGGCGCAAGCCUGAUCCAGCCAUGCCGCGUGUGUGAAGAAGGCCUUAUGGUUGUAAAGCACUUUAAGCGAGGAGGAGGCUACUGAAGUUAAUACCUUCAGAUAGUGGACGUUACUCGCAGAAUAAGCACCGGCUAACUCUGUGCCAGCAGCCGCGGUAAUACAGAGGGUGCAAGCGUUAAUCGGAUUUACUGGGCGUAAAGCGCGCGUAGGCGGCUAAUUAAGUCAAAUGUGAAAUCCCCGAGCUUAACUUGGGAAUUGCAUUCGAUACUGGUUAGCUAGAGUGUGGGAGAGGAUGGUAGAAUUCCAGGUGUAGCGGUGAAAUGCGUAGAGAUCUGGAGGAAUACCGAUGGCGAAGGCAGCCAUCUGGCCUAACACUGACGCUGAGGUGCGAAAGCAUGGGGAGCAAACAGGAUUAGAUACCCUGGUAGUCCAUGCCGUAAACGAUGUCUACUAGCCGUUGGGGCCUUUGAGGCUUUAGUGGCGCAGCUAA
This 849-nucleotide ribosomal RNA is filed under the name Acinetobacter sp. AKB-2008-AU2. RNAcentral's name for it is "bacterial SSU rRNA". It matches the Rfam family "Bacterial small subunit ribosomal RNA", at positions 12 to 855 of the family's 1533-position model. Lineage: Bacteria; Pseudomonadati; Pseudomonadota; Gammaproteobacteria; Moraxellales; Moraxellaceae. The record is from RNAcentral.